GCCGGCGUAGCUCAGCCUGGCAGAGCACACGCCUCGUAAGCGUGGGGUCCCGUGUUCAACUCACGGCGCCGGCU
RNAcentral lists this transfer RNA (74 nucleotides) under Nitrososphaerota archaeon. RNAcentral describes it as "Thaumarchaeota archaeon tRNA-Thr". It matches the Rfam family "tRNA". From Rfam's summary of the family: Transfer RNA (tRNA) molecules are approximately 80 nucleotides in length. Their secondary structure includes four short double-helical elements and three loops (D, anti-codon, and T loops). Lineage: Archaea; Thermoproteati; Nitrososphaerota. The record is from RNAcentral.